RNAcentral lists this long non-coding RNA (1206 nucleotides) under Cairina moschata (Muscovy duck). RNAcentral describes it as "domestica (muscovy Duck (domestic type)) lncRNA (ENSCMMG00000014638.1)". Lineage: Eukaryota; Metazoa; Chordata; Aves; Anseriformes; Anatidae. The record is from RNAcentral.
AUGGGAGGCGACGGGCACAAGGGGCUGGCGGCGGCGCCAGGCGCGCUUCCGUCCCCGUCCCUGUCCCCGACCCCGGUCCCCGCCGGCACAGAAAGGCCCCUUUCAGCCCCCGCCAGCGUUUGGCCUCGCCGCGGUUUCCGAGCUGGCUGCGGGAGGCGGCGGGACGGGGACACCGGGGCCGCGGUGGCAGCCUGGGGGGUCUCCUUGGAGCCUCGUGGCCCUGCGCCGGCCAAAGCCGGGAGCCCCGGAAAGCAGCGGCCGCCCCGCGUGGUGCUGCCCCCCCCCCCCGGCAAAGCCCCGUGGAGGGGACGGUGGCACCGGGAGCAGGGCCCUGUCCCCAUCCCCAACCAGGUCACUGCUGGUACCCGGGGGCACCGCGCAUCCCCAAAACCAGCCCCUGCCCCCAAAACCAGCCCCUGUCCCCCAGAGCCGCCUGGCCCGGGGCCCCUGCCCCCCCCCCGUGCCCCCCCCCCGUGCCCCAGUGCUGGCAGGGCCGGGCACCAGCACCCCCAGCAGCUCCCCGCAGGUGGCCCUGCACCCCCCAAGUCCUUUUGUCCCCCUUUCCCCAUGCUUCCCCCCCCCCCCCCAGUUCCAUUAUCCCUGGGAAUCCCUUCGGGCUCAUCUUUGGGGUUCCUGCACCCCUCUAUGCCCUUCUCCCCCUUUUUGGGGUCCUUCCCCUCCCCAGCAUCCCUGCACCCCUUUUUUGGGAUCCCUGCCCCCCCCCCGAAAGCUUCCCAUUGCCCCUCUUUGGGGUCCCCACACCCCAGGGGCUCUCUGCACCCCUUCCAGCACGUCCUGACCCCCCCAUUUCUGGGGUCCCCCACCCCUGAGCCCCCUCCCUCCCCCAUUGGCAGCCCCCCCGUGUCCCCCCCCGUGCCCUGGACACAGGUUGUGACAAGGCUCCGCUUGUUCCCGGUGCGGGGACGAUGCCGCGGGGCACGGCCGCCACCAAGCACGACCGGCACCUGCUCGGGCCGGUUACCCAUUAACCACCCCCCCCCGCCUCCUGCCUCAGUUUCCCCCCCCCCCCAAGCAUGUGGGGGGUCCUCGCAGGGCAGGGGGCACGGGGACCCGUCCCCCCUCCCCGUGGCCCGCUGGCAGCGCCAACCCGGGCGCCGUUCCCGUGUCCGCACGGUGCCAGCCGUGGCCGGGCUCCCCGCCAGCCCCAAUUUCCCCUCUUUCCACCCCAAAAACGGGGGGCCGUGA